AUUGAGGUUGCGACAAAAGAUGUUUACUAAAUCAUUCACAACAGUUUCCAAUUUUUGAGGUCUCGAAUCUAUCUUCAACAUAUCAGCAACCACCGUUUCGAGUCCCACAUAUCAGCAGUCUCAACUCACAAGGUCUCAAGAGUCAUUCCAAUCCCAGUCGCAACCACUGAUCAUCUUCAUCAAGUCGCAAUCAAGGUUUCGGCUCUUCACGGUUCUGUUCCGAGUCGCAACCGAUAUCUCGACUCAUCGUGUUUUGUUUUCGAGUCGCAAUCACCUCCUCCCAGUGGCAAUCUCAGUUCCGAGUCGCAACCGAGAUCUCGACUCUUCACGGCCUGUCGCAACCAUCAUUUCAACUCCAUCGCCGCUUACCGUCGGCCAUCAUCAUCUUCAUCAUAUUUCCGAUCACCUCCGGUUGUCUUCUCCGAUCUGUACUUCGUCUCCGACCAACCUGUUCCGCAUCACCAUCACUUCAUUAACCUACAACGUCUUCUUCGUCUCCGGUCAGUCUCACCGUUCACCACUACAGAUCAUCGUCGACCGUCGUUCACCUCCGACAUCAAUCUACCCACUGAUCACUAUCCAUCUCCGUCGUGUCAUCAUAAUCAGUGUGGCGGCUGAAAAGGGAACUCAUAGGGUUCGGUUGGAUUAAACGAAGAAGAAGAUAUACAGUUCUUUUAGUUAUUAGGGUUUGGUUAUUGGUUUUACGAAGAGGAUAAUGUUUUGUAAUCAUUUCUUAAUCAUUAUUAAUUAUAAUAAUAAUAAUAAUAAGUAUUCCUUAUAAAUA
This 784-nucleotide long non-coding RNA is filed under the name Helianthus annuus (common sunflower). RNAcentral's name for it is "hypothetical non coding rna". The record is from RNAcentral. Lineage: Eukaryota; Viridiplantae; Streptophyta; Magnoliopsida; Asterales; Asteraceae.